RNAcentral lists this signal recognition particle RNA (99 nucleotides) under Acetobacteraceae bacterium. RNAcentral describes it as "signal recognition particle sRNA small type". It matches the Rfam family "Bacterial small signal recognition particle RNA". Rfam says of the family: The signal recognition particle (SRP) is a universally conserved ribonucleoprotein involved in the co-translational targeting of proteins to membranes. Archaeal SRP consists of a 7S RNA and homologues of the eukaryotic SRP19 and SRP54 proteins. Lineage: Bacteria; Pseudomonadati; Pseudomonadota; Alphaproteobacteria; Acetobacterales; Acetobacteraceae. The record is from RNAcentral.
CGGAAGGCGCCUUUGGACGCUGUUCUCUGUGAACCCGGUCAGAUCCGGAAGGAAGCAGCCGUGACAGAUGGGUUGCGGGUCAGAGUGUGUCUUCCACUU